AUUGAACGCUGGCGGCAUGCCUUACACAUGCAAGUCGAACGGUAACAGGUCUUCGGAUGCUGACGAGUGGCGAACGGGUGAGUAAUACAUCGGAACGUGCCCGAUCGUGGGGGAUAACGAAGCGAAAGCUUUGCUAAUACCGCAUACGAUCUACGGAUGAAAGCAGGGGACCGCAAGGCCUUGCGCGAACGGAGCGGCCGAUGGCAGAUUAGGUAGUUGGUGGGAUAAAAGCUUACCAAGCCGACGAUCUGUAGCUGGUCUGAGAGGACGACCAGCCACACUGGGACUGAGACACGGCCCAAACUCCUACGGGAGGCAGCAGUGGGGAAUAUUGGGCAAUGGGGGAAACCCUGACCCAGCAACGCCGCGUGAGGGAAGAAGGUUUUCGGAUCGUAAACCUCUGUCCUUGGUGAAGAGAAGAGGACGGUAACCAGGGAGGAAGCCCCGGCUAACUACGUG
This 459-nucleotide ribosomal RNA is filed under the name uncultured bacterium. Its description in RNAcentral is "bacterial SSU rRNA". It matches the Rfam family "Bacterial small subunit ribosomal RNA", at positions 29 to 507 of the family's 1533-position model. The record is from RNAcentral.